This 157-nucleotide small nucleolar RNA is filed under the name Candida albicans. Lineage: Eukaryota; Fungi; Ascomycota; Pichiomycetes; Serinales; Debaryomycetaceae. The record is from RNAcentral. RNAcentral also lists the same sequence under 1 other name.
ACCCGAAUUGAUAACUGGAUGGCUUGAUCGGUGUUUUGAAUAAAAACUAUCAGUCCCUUUCUGUCUUUUAAGUAUUCGGAAUAACAAACCGGGAAAUGCUUCUUACACGAUGGAUAACAUUUCAAUUGUAUCGAUCGUUUACUUUUCCUGUACAUCU